RNAcentral lists this ribosomal RNA (469 nucleotides) under uncultured bacterium. Its description in RNAcentral is "partial 16S ribosomal RNA". It matches the Rfam family "Bacterial small subunit ribosomal RNA", at positions 28 to 507 of the family's 1533-position model. The record is from RNAcentral.
GACGAACGCUGGCGGCGUGCUUAACACAUGCAAGUCGAACGGAAAGGCCCUGCUUGCAGGGUGCUCGAGUGGCGAACGGGUGAGUAACACGUGGGUGAUCUGCCCCUUAUUUUGGGAUAAGCCUGGGAAACUGGGUCUAAUACUGGAUAGGACCAUGCUGUAGGUGGUGUGGUGGAAAGAUUAGUUUCGGUAAGGGAUGAGCUCGCGGCCUAUCAGCUUGUUGGUGGGGUAAUGGCCUACCAAGGCGUCGACGGGUAGCCGGCCUGAGAGGGUGGACGGCCACAUUGGGACUGAGAUACGGCCCAGACGCCUACGGGAGGCAGCAGAGGGGAAUAUUGCACAAUGGGCGCAAGCCUGAUGCAGCGACGCCGCGUGGGGGAUGACGGCCUUCGGGUUGUAAACUCCUUUCAGCCAUGACGAAGCCCUUGUGGUGACGGUAGUGGUAGAAGAAGCACCGGCUAACUACGUG